Long non-coding RNA from Toxorhynchites rutilus septentrionalis, 7189 nucleotides. RefSeq lists it as uncharacterized. The record is from RefSeq and is a predicted model, not a curated record. NCBI's taxonomy places the organism in Eukaryota, Metazoa, Arthropoda, Insecta, Diptera, Culicidae. The transcript is spliced from 5 exons.
UCGUCCGGUGAAGCUGAUGUGGAGUGCGGCUGCUUUCGGUUCGUCGACCGUUUGUUUUGUUCAGGUGAUAACGGGAGCUCGCGAAAUUUUUAAGAAGUGGUUCUCGGGGGUUUCUUAAGAGAAUUUUAUGUUAUAUAUGUGGAGUUAUAGCAAAAAAGGGAAAAAACUGCGUCGGGAAAUGAGACAAUGAUUUGAAGGAAAAGAUCAUCGACUAUCAUAAAUGAUUGAUUUUCUUGAUGUGAAAAAAUGAAAUUGCGAUUCAUUGUAAGUGGAUGUGAUAAGCCUAAGUUCUAAUUAACGUCAUGGUGAGCUAUUUUGUUGCGAUGUGUGCCGAGAUCAAGAGAAAAUAUUCGAAGUUUUGUAGUUUAUUUUUCUUCGUAAAGAAAAACUGCUUGCUUUGGCGGAAUGUGAAACAGUCACGUCGUGAACAAAGAGUGCAUUAUUGGGAAGUGUACGAUGAAGAUUUGAAAGCAAAAUCGAUAAUAGAUUCACAGUUGUCUCCGGCCAGCAAGAACUUUCAUGGAUUGAAGAGCGACAGUGAUUUUGGGAUAACAUUGAAUAUUCCUGUACGUUGUUGGUUGUGUGAAACAAAAUUCAUGAAUCAGAUACUACUUCAAUUGAAUGAUGAGAAACAAAUGAAUGUCAUUUGGGUUUCACGACAAACAUUCCAGAGUAGCGGGAAGCAUAUCCCAGCACAAAUGUAAAUUGAUAGAAUCACCCAACAUUGUUACACUUUACCUUUCCCGAACUUGUCUUCAUGCGCCACAUUAAUACAAAAGAGAAAAACAUCAGCAUACGUAAACAACAUUUUCAACAUUGCAACAAAAGGAGUAACAAAUGAAAUGAAAGUUUUAAAACAAACACCAACUAUAAAGGUUUAUUCGCUCGAGCAACAGAGGAAGACAGUGUAAAUCCAAGGAAUAAAAGCAAAAACCUGCGGAUUCCAAACGACAUUUCCUUUGAAAAUCAUCCCGUGCCUCCCAUGGUUCUUCGAGUGCCCGGAAGAACGUAACUCCGAAAAACCUGUUUCAAGUCGAUGAGAAGUUGAGGAGCAUGGUGACAUGCUGCUACCAGACCAAACGUACGAUAAACCCAACAACUAUCAGAACUAUUCACGAUUAUAUGAUGAAUUCAACCGAAUCACCGAUCCAAAAGAAAUCAAUGUCAAAUGGCUGCACUGUGACAUUUUCGGAUAUCGACAUUGCCAUUUGGAGUACCAGAGAACAAUUGAAAGGGAAGCAUGAAAAUGGUGAAAUUGUAACAGGUUGUAGAUGUCGGAGAAGCGACAAGUGACGGGGUAUACGACAGAUACACAAGGACCAACGCUAGCAGCUUUGGUAGCCAUAGUUGUGAUAAACAAGCGGAUUGUUAGUGAGGGGGAUGAUGAUGCAGGAUCACUGGUGAAUUCUUCGGAUGGUCGUUGAGACGGGGAGAAACAGGAGGACGAUUACGAGACGUCCAACUUUUUCAACAACAUUCCGGAGUUUCGAGGUGAAUCACUUGACCCGUUCAGUUCGUGUGAAAAGGUUAAUUUGAACAUCCAAAUCAACAUCGAUAUCCUGCGUGCCUGCGAAUUGUUUUUGAUGCGCAAUCGUAUUCGACCAGAUUUUUCCGGCAAAUACAAAAAGUGAUCAAUGCCUCCGUAUCAGCACCUCUCUCGUUUUACUGUCGCGCUCGAGAGCUCCUGUUGACAGCAUCAACCGCAAACCAAAACAUGUUUCACCCUCAAUGCAUCCGUCCUCUUGGGUGAACCGUGGAGGAACAUCAACCAAAUCCAGUGCGGCGAUAAACGCACUCUACAGUGUGCCAAACCGGGCCGGAAGACGAAGACGAUGAAAACCUCAGCACCUUACGUUUGGACGUAUUUUGUACAACAUGUACUAGAUCCCACAGUCUUCGAUCGCAUUUUCAAGCACUAAAGGCAGAGUGUUGCAUUAAAAGCCGAUAACUUGACGAAACAAUGGUGGUCCCCGAAUGGAUGGCGUCGUAAAUAUCAUGCUCGGAGCUUCGGCUGGACUCGUGUGUUCUCGAACUUGCCAUUCAGGAUAUAAUCGAGGCGUGUUAUAAGGCAUAAGAAUCUCAAAUCUAUAUAUAAUAACGCAACUAAUACUACGUUGAGGCGGUGAAAUUUUUCUAGAAACAUUAGCGCAUUCGAAGAAGAAGUGACAAAUCGGGUUGAGAUUCGAAACGAAUUUGGCUCCGAUCUUAAAGAGAAUAUCCAUUGAAGAAAGACGAGAUACAUUCUGUCAAAUAUAUUCCGGGAUAUUGGGCCUUAUUCCCGUAUCCACGUACACUUACGUUCCCACUACGCUUACAUCUCACUUCACUUUGUUGUACUCAUUCCCGUUUCGUGAAGUGUAAAAAUGAACUUCGUGUAGAAAAUGGAGUUGAUGCCAAAAUGACCCUUUGUUCAUUUCCAAUGUCGUUUCUAAUGGCGCGUUUACAUUCGGGAGAUCUAUAGCUAUAGAUAAAUUUAAUCACACGGAAAUAGAUGUAAACGGGUGAGGAUAUGUAUGAUACUCUUCUUCUAGGUAUAUAUAACCACUAUGUAUAGGAUAAAUUCAGGCAUAUGUAAACGCUGGUGAAUUUCUCACUGGUGAGAAAUCACUAAAGUUGGAUGCAGUUCUACUUCAUGUGAAUAAAUUCACUGAAAAUGUGAAUAUAUUCAGUAUAUAAGUUCGCGCUAGUGUAAACGGUUGAUGCGAUUUCUAUAAAUCUCAUCAUAUUUCUUCACAUGAAUAUAUCACGAGAUUAUACCCACCGUAAAAGAAAUGUCAGUUGUAUUUUGUUUUGUUUAUCCUCGAGUUGUGUCGAUACACCCAGAAAAUGGAUUACUAAAAAACGCUUCCAGAUCUUUUGUAAUGCAAACAGUAGAAUGUAUAAAUUUUCUGUAAAUAUUACCAAUCGUUUGUAAUGCGGGCGCUACACGAUUCGUCCAACGUUUCACUCGAAUGUUGGACUCAAACAUUUGACUCGAUGAAUCGACAAAUGUUGUGACCAAGGCGCCUAGAAGUAUAUCCUAAGGUGAGGCCGUUUCAUCACUAAGUUGGUUAGGGAGCGGUAUAUGAAAACAGUACGGAGGAAAGCAGAAGGGAAUUUUUUUGCUUGAAGCGUGAAAGAGACAGACUGAUCACGAGCGAGCUUGGGCACAAGCGUUUUGUGUUUUGUUCGGGGUGUUCGUAGCAUCGUGUGGCGCCGGUUUAAAAUGAAUCACGCAACACAUCCCUACCAACGAUGGAUUCAUUUUACUUCGCGGUAUUAGUAACUUUUACGAUUGUCAUUACUGGCAACCGCGAGGAAAAUGUAAAUAUAACUUCAUUAGCCUAAUUACCAAGUUGUUAAUUGAGUUGCACGGUACUACUUUCCAAUAUUUAUUUCUUCACAGAAGAAGGUCGUAUUCACUCAGAUUCGGGACAGGUAAGUAAUAUUCGUGAAAAUCAAUUCAAUUUAUGUUCUUUAAUUAAUAUUGAUACAUAUUGGAUAGGAAUGAUUUGUGCUCGUCUGCUGCGGGAGAAUGCGGAGACAUUACUUCAAUAAUAAGGAAUCUGGGUACUUCGAUACACAAAAUCGAGCCCUGUCGAGUCCUAGUCGACUUCAUAAACGUUUUGCAGACGAUUGUGAUCGGUGGUUCAAUCAAUUGGAUUAAGCCUCACUUAAUUCCGCCUGGGUUUUGUCAGCUUCGUGAUAUCUCCCGAAUGUGUUUGACUGAGAAGUAAUUACACGCUGGUCCUGGGAGAUGAUAAUGCCAUGUAUCAGACCCAACCGAUGCAGGAUCAGAUGUCGAUAGUUUAGAUAGUUCAAUAAAUGAAUAAAGAUACAUACAAAAGCUCAAUAAGUUUAUAACAAUAUAUGCAUAAAGGUUGGGUUAACAUAACAUGUUUAGGGUAUAUGUUAAACCAACGUUGAACCGACUGCUUAUACUGGGUUAUACUGGCCGAUUUGACAUUUGUUUACCAUUGUUAUCGCGUAAUAUGUUUACUAAGUAUUGGUAAUAAAUUUACUGAGUAUUGGUAACAUUUACCAAAAAGCUCGUCAUAUAUACCAACUUUUUGGGAGAGUGUAUGAUCGGCGAUUAUGAUGAACUCGAGGAAUCGCUGUUUAUACAAAAAAGAGCGUGAAGUGUAAACCAGAAUAACAUCGGUGGAUGAACUCGGAAUGAAUUCUACCAAAUGUUUACAGUGGCGUGUAUUCCGGAAUAACGUUGUACUCACUACACAUUGUUUUCACGUGUGUAUUCGGGAAUAAGGCCCAUUGUGUUUUCAAAGAGAAUGUUUUGUUUGUCAUCUAAAUUUAUAUCAUUGCCUUCAAAAUAGGUCCAAAUUAGUGCUUCACUUUACAUUUUUUCUAACGAACAAUUCAGCCAUCAAAACACUCUUUACAGCUGUAUUCAGGAAUUGUCUUCAAUUCACGCAACCAAUUCGUUUUUAUGCCCUCAAUUCUGUCGAAACGGGUCCCACGAAGCAGUAAUUUAAGAUUCUGAAAUGGGAAAAAGUCACACGGGGCCAUAUCUGGAGAUUAAUUAUGCGUUAGAUGAACGUAGGAUCAGGAUUUGAUCCUUCAAGCAUGUCUUCAGCCACUUGAUUGCGAUGAAUUUUUUGAAGAAAAUUGAGCUCUUUUGGCACUAGUCGUGCUGCGACUUUUCUUAUGCCAAAACAUCAACCAAAAUAUGACGAUUUCCGAGCACUAUUCCUUUCAUUUUGUCGACGUUUUCAUCAGUAAGAGAGGUGGAUGGUCAUCCUUGGUGUGACAAAUCGUUCAUCUCUUCUCGGUCGUAUUUGAAUGCCUUAUGCCAUUCAAACACUCGAGUUUUCUACAAAGUUGAGUCACCAAAUGUUUUCUGCUACAUUUUCAACGUUUCGAUACAAGAGAUUUUGUUUGCAACGCAAUUUUUUUCCAUGCGAAAGCAAAACAGAAACUGAUGCUCUUGGAUACGAUUGUAUCACGGGAACCGAAUGCGCAAAUCUUCCUUUGCUCGAGCGCAUUUACAAGCGAGUAAAAGAAAUCACACCCUGCAUGUAUUCUCGAUGACGGUUUCUCUAGGCGCCCUGAUUGUGCCACCGUAUUCGGGACACAUUCCGAUCACCACAAAAGCAGUCAUCAUCAACGAGCUAGAUUGUAAUGAUUUCAAUAGCCUGUUUUCAUAGCAAUGCUAUUGAAACGAGUUUUGGACCAAUAAGUGACAAUCGUACACUGCGUUUCAUAACUAUCGAACCACUUCAUUUUUCUGAGUUUCCAGAGGUGAAGACGGUUGAAUUGAAGUAUAUAGUGUAGAAUACAAUAACUAUCUUCAUUUAUAAGAUUGGCCACUUGAACAUUAUUGUUGCGUUCAGGCGCGAAACAGUAAAAAAAAACUAAUAUUCUAGUGUAUCAUAACUGUAGAACCACAUUCACUCCUUUACCAAAUUAACGUCAGUUUCACAUGAGUUACAACAUUUUUCGAAUAACCCAUUCGGUGUGGUUACGAUCGAACUGGCUGAUGUUGUAGUGUGUAUCUUGUUCUACGCAGAGACUACUGCUCGUUUAAGCUCUUCAAAUCACUCAUACCGCUUGUAAGCUGCAUCUACUAGUCGUACGAUCACCCCUCAUGAGCUCUUCACAGGGUAUUGAUUUGGUUAUGUUCAAAUGGCCAGUCUUAUAAAUGAAGAUACUUGUUAUAUCCUACACUAUAUACUUCAAUUCAAUCGACUUCUUACAUAUCUCUGGGCACUCAGAGAAAAUGAGUGGUUCUAUAGUUAUGAAACACAGUGUAUUUGGAUGUCUUGUGAAUUAUAAAACGAUGCCAAUCAAAACAUUUAGUGUUUAACACUCCUAUACUCGCGCAUUGAUCUGUCAGACCGAGAAAUCAAUAAUUCGUUCAUUUCUCAGAAAAUAUCAACACUACAACUUUGCGAUUCUCUCUAGCUUCGUUAUUCGUCGUGCGUCAUCGUUUAGCGUAUCGCAUGUGUUGGUACAAAGGGGACGUGUGCCACUUUUUCAACGCUUUCGGUCUGACACACCGACGCGAGUAUAGGGGUAACUUUUUUGGACAAGUGCAUUUUUUCAUAUUCUAGAAUAUUGUUGAAUGAAAUGUAUAAAUUAAUGUUAGUGGCGUGAAAUAUUUAUUGAAUAUAAUGCAUACGAUCAUUACCGGACUAUUCUUAUUUGAUUUCAGUCCCUUUUGUAACUGGAUUGAACGGAUUCAUAUAUUAACUAUUCGUCGAUAUAUUCGUCGUUAGAUUCAUACGUUCAAAAGCAAAAUAUAAAUGGUCGACUUUCGUAUAGUUAUUCGCUGAAUAUAAUGGUCAUACAUAUACACACUUGUGAAAGAAUUUCACUUGUGGAAGAAUUGUAAACAGUAAACUAUAAACUAAUCGGUGGCUUAUGGUAAUUUUUAACAAUUACAGUCUCGGUUUUUUUAUCGACAAGAAAACAAGAAAAAGAAAAAAAAGUUCCUAGAAAUCCUUUUAUAUCAUCUUUUUAUGCCCUAUCUAAAAAAAGACAUUAAUUUUCAGUUUACCAAGAAUACAGAGACAAAGAAUAUUAGAAAUAUGCAAACAUCAUAUUCCAGAGCCUUUAUCAUCUGGUAAUUAUCUAGAAGGUGGUUAUACAUUCCUCUCUUCGAUAAAAGGCCCGAAAACACGCAACAACUGCAUGAAAUGUAAAAAAUAUGUUUGUUUCGAGCAUGCAGUUAUGCUAUGUUUUGAUUCUUAUUCCAAUGAAACCACAAUCGAUUAAUACGUUUUUAUGUUAUUUUAUAGCUCUAUAUUCUUCCAUGAAUUAUAUUCAGUUGCUCACUUUUAAAUAAUAACAGUGAAAAAAUCAAAUUUCGUUAUUUGUGUUGGAGUAUCAAAAAUUAUUCUGUUUUGAGGAGGUUGAAUUAGAUGACUAUUUAAACAUAAUAAAGACGAAGAAAACAUAUUUUUUGGAGUUUUUUCAUUCAAUUAUACCCUCUUCUUCAAAUAAAUGCCAAUAAAGCCUGAAAAUACACAAUGGAAACAUCACAGAGAUGUUCAAUUUUCGGUCUGUGACACCGUGCGCGAGUAUACGUGUUAUGAUUUUGCACGCGAGUACAGGAGGGUUAAGAAUAUUGUCCUGGUGAAGAAUUGUGUUUCGAAACAUCGAACUGAGAAUAUAGACAAAUAAAAGAGAAACAAAUCAAAUAAUCGUUCACCUCGAAAGAAACAUCCCAACACUUCUUUGGUCCUUUGUU